UCCUGAGUCGAAAGAAAGGGAGCAGUUUUUUGCCACGGUCAAUCCUGUCCAGAAACAAGAAUUUGGACCGGCUUUAACCCCCCUGAUGUGGGCAUCAAUGAGGACAAACAUGAUACGUGAUUGUGGUAACAGUGUGCCCUGGCCAGGAUGUCACUCUGCCAGGUAAGGUUGCAGAUUUCCCCAUCAGUGUUGUAAAGUGGAGCAGACCUGACCUGGAGCCAGACUACGUCCUCUUAACCAUCGACGGACACCUGGAUCCAACCCAGCAGCAUCCAUCCUUUAAGGACAGAGUGGACCUAUUGGCCAGAGAUAUGAAGGAUGGGAACGUGUCUGUAAUUCUGAAGAAUGUGAGCAGCAACGACACUGGAACAUACGAGUGUUAUACCAGAUGAUUCAAGACGUAAAAAGAGAGCCAACAUCGACUCUGAGCCAAUCACGAUCAUCCGUCUGCAGGUUACAGAGCCAGGUCAGAGGAGCGCACACUUCACUCCAGACCUACACAUUGGAUUGGCUACAGCAGGUGCACUGCUUCUUUUAAUUAUUGUUGCAGUGCCUGUUGGCCUGAUAUAUAAAAGGUGUAUGGGCGACAGACCCUAACCACCUCCUGCUGCUGCUGAAAAAGGAGACUGGGGUUUAAAGGAGAUCAGACUUGUUGGUGAGUUUUGAAGCAGUGUGAGAGUCCCGAACAGGAAACAUCCCUGCCUCUAUCGCUGCCACAAGAAAAUUUUAAACCACCAAACACAAGCACUGAACUGCCCGGGAGUUUGUGGAACAACUGACUGUUUCCUCAGUCCCUCCGUCUCUUUUCUUUCUCUCUUUCUCAGGGAAAAUAAGCUGUCUUCAAGUGCACUUGCAAACACCUAGAUCUUUAAACCAUCUGACGGAAAACAGGAACUGUGAAAUAUAAAGUCAUUUAGUGCUAUGUUGGGGGGGGGGGUGAAAGAACAAAACAGUACGUCACACAAAUGAGCCGUUUCAGAGACACUCCUUCCGCCGCACCAGGCUGCGGAAAAUCACCGGAUCAUCUUCUUUGGUCUGAACGCAGCUUCAUUGUGAAAGAUAUGCAGCUGUUAAUCACUACUGAGCCUGUUUGUAACCUGUAGGCUACAGACGUGACUUCACCUGUUAUUUACCACAUAGUACGCUACUGUCCUGCUUUUUUUACAGACAGUAAGGAGUCACAGCGGUGUGCUGCGAGAGAGUGAACAGGGGAAACGCUGGAAUGGAUAUUUGGGCUUAUUUCAAAAGAACGUGGAACACUGAUGUAUGAAAUUGCCAAUUAGAUGAAUUUAAUUAUUAAUCAAAGAUGCCAGAACCACUUUAACCCCUGCCUGAAUGAUAAUUCUGUUUCAUCCUCUCAUUGAAGUGUCACGUUUGAUCACUGACCUAGAGUUAGUCACAAUUUGGCACGGGGAGGAAGGGCCCUCCCUAAUUUGCGAGGCCCUAUAUGCACCUUGGAUGGUACAGUAUGUGUAUAGGGCGGACCAGCUCCGCUGGGAUCUGUGUUGCCUCAACCCGUUCUCACGCCGAACUCGUAAAAUACGGAUGCUUGGACAGUGGAUGUCAGCGUCUGAAGCAUCGGAAAAAACGCCCUUCAGUGUGUUUGUAGAAUGUACUGGGGAGAGCAGCAGCUAUACGGGGUUUGGUGAGUAGUAUGUAACGCCGAAAUUCUGCACAGGCAGGUUGGUUUGGGGGGUGGUGAAUGGGUCAAACACAGAACUUUCACCCAGGAGACCGGGGAUCGUCUCCCGCAUGCCACCUUUCCUAAAGUCGCUUUCUUCUUUAACCAUGUCCCGUAAUCAGAGGCGACUCCAUUUAGAGUGUGGAGCAUCCAGUUUGAAAUUGGCGGGUCUUGCCUUUGCCAUCCUAGGAAAACACAAAUGUGUAAUCAGAGAAAACUACAUGGGCAGUAUUGAGAGUGUGGAGUAGCUCAAAGCACAUUUUAACUUUGCACCUCCCACACCUGAAACUGUUAACUUUAUAUAAACAGCUGUUGACAGGCAGAGUAGCUCUUCUGCUAGGCAACGGCUGCCCUCUUGUGACAGCUUGUGAAAGGAAACCUGUGCUCUUGGCUUGACCUACUGUACUGUCUCUCCCUCAGUGAAGGCUUUAGCUGUGAGUAACUGUUGUGAAACUCGUCGUAUGAAUGCAGAUAUUAAAACUGUUUUUACAGAAUCUUUGUAUGAAUGCAGAUAUUAAACGUGUUUACAGAAACUAGUGUAA
Molecule: long non-coding RNA, 2223 nt
Organism: Perca fluviatilis (European perch)
Lineage: Eukaryota; Metazoa; Chordata; Actinopteri; Perciformes; Percidae
Exons: 3
Source: RefSeq, a predicted model, not a curated record